AGGAGGGCAAGGGUUGGCUAACAACUUACAAAUUCUAAUCCACAGCCUGUAAUCUGAAGAUUGGGUCAGUCAUAAUCUGAGUGGAAACGCUUCUACUUCCUUUUUUGACAAAAUGCAGCAGAGAUGACGUGGUGUAACUUCCAAGCCUGAGCUUUAUAAGAUCGGCAGAUUCCACUUUUAUGUGCUUGGAAUGUUCCAUCUCAGAGCCCUGCUGUCAUGCUGGGAGAAGCCACAAGGAGGAUACUUGAGGUGCUCCAAUGAACAGCUUCAGGUGAACUCCAAGUCAACAGGCAGGACCAGAUACUGCUAUGUGAAUGUGUCAUCUUGGACAUACCAGCUCAAUCUGUCCUCCAAACAACUGCAGUGUCUGCCAGCAACACGUGGAACAGAAAACCAUCCAGCUGAUCCCAGUCAACCUUCAGAAUUGUGAAAGAUAAUAGCUAGUUUCUGUUUCAAGCCACUGAGUUUUGGGGUAGUUUUGUUAUGCAGUAAUAGAUAACCAGACACAGUUCUCUCUCCAUGGGCUCUUUCCAGAUUAUAUAUGUAACUUGUAUCUCU
Molecule: non-coding RNA, 558 nt
Organism: Ictidomys tridecemlineatus (thirteen-lined ground squirrel)
Lineage: Eukaryota; Metazoa; Chordata; Mammalia; Rodentia; Sciuridae
Source: RefSeq, a predicted model, not a curated record